GACGAACGCUGGCGGCGUGCUUAACACAUGCAAGUCGAACGGAAAGGCCCUGCCUUUGUGGGGUGCUCGAGUGGCGAACGGGUGAGUAACACGUGAGUAACCUGCCCUUGACUUUGGGAUAACUUCAGGAAACUGGGGCUAAUACCUGAUAGGAGCUCCUGCUGCAUGGUGGGGGUUGGAAAGUUUCGGCGGUUGGGGAUGGACUCGCGGCUUAUCAGCUUGUUGGUGGGGUAGUGGCCUACCAAGGCUUUGACGGGUAGCCGGCCUGAGAGGGUGAACGGGCACAUUGGGCCUGAGAGACGGACCAGACUCCUACGGGAGGCAGCAGUGGGGAAUAUUGCACAAUGGGCGGAAGCCUGAUGCAGCAACGCCGCGUGCGGGAUGACGGCCUUCGGGUUGUAAACCGCUUUCGCCUGUGACGAAGCGUGAGUGACGGUAAUGGGUAAAGAAGCACCGGCUAACUACGUG
RNAcentral lists this ribosomal RNA (468 nucleotides) under uncultured bacterium. RNAcentral's name for it is "partial 16S ribosomal RNA". It matches the Rfam family "Bacterial small subunit ribosomal RNA", at positions 28 to 507 of the family's 1533-position model. The record is from RNAcentral.